GGUGGUGUGGUGUAAUGGUAGCACGUGACGUUGUGGCUAAUUUAAAAGAAAAAUUCACACCCGAAUCCGUUUCAAUCUGGGUUCGAUUCCCAGCACCGCCA
This 101-nucleotide transfer RNA is filed under the name Erysiphe necator (grape powdery mildew). It matches the Rfam family "tRNA". From Rfam's summary of the family: Transfer RNA (tRNA) molecules are approximately 80 nucleotides in length. Their secondary structure includes four short double-helical elements and three loops (D, anti-codon, and T loops). The record is from Rfam by way of RNAcentral. Lineage: Eukaryota; Fungi; Ascomycota; Leotiomycetes; Helotiales; Erysiphaceae.